AACGAACGCUGGCGGCAUGCCUAACACAUGCAAGUCGAACGAGACCUUCGGGUCUAGUGGCGCACGGGUGCGUAACGCGUGGGAACCUGCCUUUAGGUUCGGAAUAACUCCCCGAAAGGGGUGCUAAUGCCGAAUAAUGUCUUCGGACCAAAGAUUUAUCGCCUUUAGAUGGGCCCGCGUUGGAUUAGCUAGUUGGUGGGGUAAAGGCCUACCAAGGCGACGAUCCAUAGCUGGUCUUAGAGGAUGAUCAGCCACACUGGGACUGAGACACGGCCCAGACUCCUACGGGAGGCAGCAGUGGGGAAUAUUGGACAAUGGGCGAAAGCCUGAUCCAGCAAUGCCGCGUGAGUGAUGAAGGCCUUAGGGUUGUAAAGCUCUUUUACCAGGGAUGAUAAUGACAGUACCUGGAGAAUAAGCUCCGGCUAACUCCGUGC
RNAcentral lists this ribosomal RNA (434 nucleotides) under bacterium enrichment culture clone GS01. Its description in RNAcentral is "bacterial SSU rRNA". It matches the Rfam family "Bacterial small subunit ribosomal RNA", at positions 29 to 508 of the family's 1533-position model. The record is from RNAcentral.